UCCGGUUUGGCACCGGCAGUCUCCCUAGAGUUCCCGGCAUGACCCGCUGGCAACUAAGGAUAGGGGUUGCGCUCGUUGCGCCACUUAAGGCAACACCUCACGGCACGAGCUGACGACAGCCAUGCACCACCUGUGCAGGCUCCGUAGAGCACCCGCUUUCACGGGUUUCACCCUGCAUGUCAAGCCCAGGUAAGGUGGGGAUGACGUAGAACGGUUGGUU
This 220-nucleotide unclassified non-coding RNA is filed under the name uncultured Actinomycetes bacterium. RNAcentral's name for it is "uncultured actinobacterium contains 16S-23S intergenic spacer region". Lineage: Bacteria; Bacillati; Actinomycetota; Actinomycetes. The record is from RNAcentral.